Pygocentrus nattereri (red-bellied piranha) is the source of this 800-nucleotide long non-coding RNA. RefSeq lists it as uncharacterized. The record is from RefSeq and is a predicted model, not a curated record. The transcript has 3 exons. Lineage: Eukaryota; Metazoa; Chordata; Actinopteri; Characiformes; Serrasalmidae.
UCUUCACCUUGUCUGUAGACGGCGCGAGUACCGCCUCUUCUACAGAGAACCUCACUGGUCAGCUAAGCUUGGUUGAUCUCAAAGCAGGCCUGGAAUGAGCCGAGCUCAGCUGAACGGAGGCAUGUGUGGUGGAUGAGCAGCUGAUGUUGCUCUUGUCGUCUGUCUGGAUUCUCUUCCACAUGAGAGUCCAAAACGAAGCUCAGGCCGUCAGUGUGAGCUGAAGGAGUUAUUCUCGGACUGUUGUGGUCUGUGGUUUCCUUGCUGCUUCUGGUUGUCCGUCCUCACCCAGCGAUGAGAAGAGCUCCAGAGAACGAGAACUAACAGCUGUUCAUUUACUCUUCAUUCACCACUGCAGCUUCAGCUCUAUGGACAGAACAUUAAAGAGGCGUACGGAGGAUUUCUGAGGAUUAAAGAGCUUCUAGAGCUCAAAACACAUCAGAUGAUCUCCUAAAGUCAGAGAGAUUCUCUCAGAUCAGGCAGAGGAGCUUCUGUUUAUGAAGGGUCUUUAUUCACUGUAGUGCUGUUAUACACCAUGAUGAUCCAAACACGGACCAGAACCAGGCGGUUCUGAUCGCUCAGUGUGAACAGAGUUGAGAUGAUUUGGAUCCAGUUUGAGUAAAAAUGUCACUGUGUAAAUCAGAUUUAUUAAUGUAGAGUUUGUAUAUUUUCAGUUGCUUUUCUGUAGUUUUCCUCUUGUUCUCAUUGUUUAGGUUAGUAGAUCCUCUUAAACUCUUUUCUAGCUGUGCUGUCGUUGUUCUGAAUGUGCUGCUAAAACACCGAUAAUAAAGUUUUGAAGCAGC